Molecule: non-coding RNA, 777 nt
Organism: Macaca mulatta (Rhesus monkey)
Lineage: Eukaryota; Metazoa; Chordata; Mammalia; Primates; Cercopithecidae
Source: RefSeq, a predicted model, not a curated record
CACUCCAGCCUGGUGACAGAGUGAGACUCUGUCUUACACACACACAAAAAAUCUGGAUUUCCAUUUUCUCUUGAAAACUGUAAUAAUCUAAUAACACAGGUCCUGCAUUCCCGCAUGACAACUGGCUAGAGCUGAGUGGUGACUUCCUCCAGACAUUUUCCACUUUUUAUCUUGUCCAUUUAUUGAGGUAACCUGCCUGGUGGUCCUCCACAAACAUCUCAGUUUACAAUCCUUGCACCAUUCUAUGCUUUAAUACAACAGUGUAUUAUUAUUUAUUUAAGUACUAACACAAUUUAUAUGUAUAAAUAUGAACAGGAUUUUUUUUUUCAAUGACUAACACAGUUUUCCUAGGACUUCAGCUGAGACCAUGAAACAUAGAAGUGGAGAAAAGAAGGAAUGCAUUACUGAAGGAAAAUCAUCGAUAAAUACUGAAGCUGGGAAUGAGCUCAGUAUCUUUUGGCAACAGGAUUAGUUAAGGAGAAAACCCGAACCUGGCGCCCGGAAGUGAUGUCAUCGACACCGUGCAAGGUCCCUUCCAGAGCUAGCUGCUGUUUCACUGGAGAGCCGCACGCUUAGUGAAGAAAAGCUUAAAGGCCGUCUUUGCUCGAAACGCUCUCUGUGCGCGCCCGCAUUUCCCCCCAGAUUUGCAGGUGAUGAGAGUUCUGUAAAAUUACACAGCUAGUGACUGAUCCAGCGGAGACCGAAUACAGGUUUGUCUGACUACACAACAUCAAGUUCCAAACACUAAGCUACAUUAAAAAGUAAUUUUUUUUUUUU